GGCUGGUCCGAGUGCAGUGGUGCCUACAAUUAAUUGAUCACAGCCAGUUACAGAUUUCUUUGUUCCUUCUCCACUCCCACUGCUUCACUUGACCAGCCUUUU
Molecule: Y RNA, 102 nt
Filed under: Vulpes vulpes (red fox)
Lineage: Eukaryota; Metazoa; Chordata; Mammalia; Carnivora; Canidae
Description: Y RNA (ENSVVUG00000016620.1)
Rfam family: Y RNA
About the family: Y RNAs are components of the Ro ribonucleoprotein particle (Ro RNP), in association with Ro60 and La proteins.
Source: Rfam by way of RNAcentral